This is a non-coding RNA of Pelobates cultripes (western spadefoot toad), 842 nucleotides long. NCBI's taxonomy places the organism in Eukaryota, Metazoa, Chordata, Amphibia, Anura, Pelobatidae. The record is from the annotation of a GenBank genome assembly.
GCUAAACCUACACAAUUUUAACAUAGACACAUAUACCUAGGACAUAUUUGAAUUUGAAAACAAGAGAAAUCUCACUGUAUCUUUCCUGGAAAAAUAUUUUAUAAAUAAAUAAUAUACACCCCCACCUUUAGCAGUACGAUACCCACUGGAAAUGACAAUAUAUGAAUAACAGAACACAAAACACAGCCACAACAGGAGGUCUUAUUCCAAAGGAUUUAACAUUGUAUGGGUAUACCGAGAUACCCCAUACACCUCCAGUUUGAAAACCACCAAUGGGCUCCAACCUACUAAAUUAAACCAUGUGAAUUUUGUUACCGAACUUCAAACAUACCAGCUAGCAAUCCUACCUACCCCCAAUUUCUAAUCCAGGCCUGCCCCAGCUCAGAGCUUGACUUUUCAAGACACCUGAGCGCCCCAAGCCCGCAAAACCAAUGCACGCUGCAAGCCUUCCUGAAAACCCAUAUUAAAGAAAUCGUUCCCUAUGUCGGAAAGGUGCACCCCAUCAUGCCUAAAAUAACCAGUAAGCAUGGUGUCUAACUUACAGUGCCGUACAACUACUCCCCCCAUACAUCUAACGAAAACGGACAACAGCUUGUUAAUCUUCCCUCGACACUUGGUCACUGCCACAGGAUCAAGAGCAUGACGCCAAUGCAAACGGGGCACCAUCUCUGACCAAAUUAUCACUACACCCGGAGCAAGACCCUUCAACCUAUCCAGAUCACGCUUCAUACAUUGCACCAAGUCCCUCUGAGGCACUUGACCUAAAUCAUUCCUCCCAGCGUGGAUUAAAAGAAAAUCUGGUAACUGUCCGGAACCUAGCAGCCUGAAAAUCUUAAAAGAAA